RNAcentral lists this transfer RNA (66 nucleotides) under Laternula truncata. RNAcentral describes it as "tRNA-Pro". Lineage: Eukaryota; Metazoa; Mollusca; Bivalvia; Laternulidae. The record is from RNAcentral.
CUAGUGAUAGUUUAAUAAGAAUAAAGGCUUUGGGUGCCUUAGGUACGAAUUUUUUCGGCCACUAGA